Molecule: RNA transcript, 2318 nt
Organism: Carassius gibelio (silver crucian carp)
Lineage: Eukaryota; Metazoa; Chordata; Actinopteri; Cypriniformes; Cyprinidae
Gene name: structural maintenance of chromosomes protein 5
Exons: 9
Source: RefSeq, a predicted model, not a curated record
CAGGCAAUAAUAACCAACUGCAGAACCGCAGAACCAUUACGUCAUAACAGUCUGAGGACGACAGCGCCAGACCGACUGUUUGAGAGCGGAAGUGGGCGGGGUAGCAGUCCGAUGCCGGAAGUUCAUGUUUAGACGUGUUUGUUUAGACUAGACAGUAAAAGGUUUUUAGACAGUAAAAGAUAAACAUUAAAAGGUUUUUAGACAGUAAUAGAUAGACAAUAAAAUGUUUAACUAUGGCGGAGCACACUGUAGAACAAGGAAAAGAAGAAGAGAAAGAAAAGCACAUAUCUAUUCAGAGAGGGUCAGAGCCUUGUUUCUACCAUGAGCAAGCAGGUGGAACUGAUGUUGUGAUGGAGGACAGUACCCCGGCUGCUUCAAUGGUUACAACAGGUGCAGGAAUGGUUUGUGACAUUAAACAGUUGUCUGCCAGUAGAAGUUGUUGGGAUUUCCAGCCAAGUGAUUGGCAGUCAUCAUUGCUUAACCAGAUUUUGAGUAAAAAUGACAGAGAUGAGACAAUUGCUCAAGUUGGAAGCAUUAAACUGCAGCAGAAAGAUUUCUUGACCUUGGGCCUCAAUGCAGCGCUUGAGGCAACAGUAAGUGGACAAAUAAUGAUUUUUAAAAUAGAAAAAUUUACCAUACAGCUAAUAUAUUUUUUGUUAGUAAUUAACUAAUGUUAUUAUAUAACUAAUAUAUAAUAUAUUUAAAAACCGAUUGCAAACAGCUGUCUUGAUGUGAUCGUCAUGGUGGCUAAGGAAAAGGUAUUUUUGCCUACAACUGUAUAACUCAUGAUCACCUGGAGACGUAAUUGUGUUUUGUAAUGGAUGUGCAAAUGAAUGUUAUGCUUAGGCAACAGAUGUGUUUGCAGCAAAUUCCUUGUAGUUACCUGGCUACCACCACUUGAAUUGGACCCAUUUUUAUCGUUUCCAGAUAACAUAGGAUCCAAGGAUUACAUUCUGCUCCCUGCUUGGAUGCCAGGACACUGAAUGCUAUGUGUAUGUUGUUCCCUUCAUUUUUGGGUGAACUAACUCUUUAAGAUUAUAUGGUGAUAUUAGGAUUCAAUAUACUAACAACUGUAUUUCACAGGUUCUGAAGCCUAAAAACAAGGCUAUGUAUUUUUUUGAUUCAACUCACCCCUACGGGAUUGGUGAUGUAAAAUAUGUGACUGUCUUCAGGUUGCAUUACAUAUAUAAAUAUUAUGUUCAGAGUUCGCAGUUCAAGGUUUGCUGUUCAAAGUUCGUUGUUCGAAAGUUUGCUCUUCAUUGAUGUUCACUGCUGAUUAUUCUGUGCAUGAUGUUCAUUUGCAUGAUGAUCUGCAUGCUGCAUGUUUUUAUAUUCUAAAUUUUAAAUGUUGUUUUUGCAAUUCAGUCAGGGGUAAUUUUUAUUUUUUUUGCUUUUGAGUAAAUAUACUUUGCUUUUUUUGUCCAAUUUUUCUGGUUAUAAUAUAUUAAAAUAUUUCUGUUUGAUUUUGUUGCAGUAAAUUGACAAACAGAAUCGCUCCAGGACCAUGGAAGCUGAUCAAGAACAAGGGAUAACUUAAUGAUAAUUGCAUUGUUUUAGAAUGUUCCACAACAGCUGACUGGCUCUGUGGACUGUGGGAUCUUCAUGCUGAUGUCGGAUUUUCCUCUUAUUCGAAAAUGGUGGUGCCUUAUUCUCAUGGAGAAUUUUGCCAUUGAAAGGAAACAUGCUGCCGUUGAUGUGCAGGAGCCACCUAAAGCACAAGAAGACACCGAAACCGGCGACAUGGAACCACAGAUGGUCAAAGACCUCAGGACCGCAGUUGGAUGGCUGCGGGACAACUGCCACUCCUUCAGAGGUUCUGUGCAAGAGCCGUCAUAUCUGGACCUAAAGAAGGAAGACCAGGAAGAGGCCCUUCUUAAACUUGAUCGGGCGGAAAGAAAAGAUGAUCUGGAACUGGCCAAAAAGCCUUUCAUGUUUCAGUUCCAGUUUCAACAGGACAUGGAAGUUUUUCUUUUCGAAUGUCACGACGAAAGGCACCUCAGAAUAAACUCCAUGUUUAUGGAGUUUUAAUUUGUUAUUUAUUUUUCUCUUGAGAAUUAUUGAUGUAAAAUUUGUGCCUGUAUAACUUUUAUAAGAUUUAUUUUCUUUGGUUUAAUUUGUUUUAUAUAAUUUAUUUAUCUAGUUUGAUUUUGUAAUUUUAUUUAAUUAGAAAACAGCUAGUGUGUGAUUUUAUUUAAAACUCAUUUUAUUUAAAUUAAUGUUUUUUUUGUUUUCAGUCCAUUAUAUUAUUGUGUAUGGUGGUCUAUGUUGUUUGAGUAUUUAAAGUUAUUUUCAACUGAAUAAAAUGUUCAAACUCUCAA